CAUCUUUGAACAUGUUGCAUGUAUGCUCACAAGGUCGAUCUAGCUGUUAUUAUUACGGUAUUUAUUCUAAAGGGAAUUCUAAAUUGUGCUGGUGAUUCCAGAGGCAUGCAGGGGUGUUUACAAACAGACGACCACAGCUGAAGUAGAUUGUGAGCUUGGAGAGGUCCUGAAACUGGCCACUUUUCGAAAGGGAGGUUCAAAGUUUGAGGAGAAGAGGAGGAAUUAAGAGGAAGCGACGACGAAGAAGGGCAAAGGGAAGUGUACAAAGAAAAGGGACAGUGAGAUGAGUGACCAGGAAGUGAAGAAGAAGAAAACAGGGAAAGGGAAAAGAACCAAGCAAACGCUAGUGAGACCAGUGAGCAUUGAGCAGGAAGAGAACCAACAAGAAGGGGCAGGAGUACACUGACGCGCACGACCAAGACCACAGCAUUCCAUUUCUAUUCCAUCCAUCCAUCCAUCUUCUUCCGCUUAUCCGAGGUCGGGUCGCGGGGGCAGCAGCCUAAGCAGGGAA
This is a long non-coding RNA of Nerophis lumbriciformis (worm pipefish), 511 nucleotides long. RefSeq lists it as uncharacterized. NCBI's taxonomy places the organism in Eukaryota, Metazoa, Chordata, Actinopteri, Syngnathiformes, Syngnathidae. The record is from RefSeq and is a predicted model, not a curated record.